This 513-nucleotide long non-coding RNA is filed under the name Homo sapiens (human). RNAcentral describes it as "non-protein coding lnc-SMKR1-3:2". The record is from RNAcentral. Lineage: Eukaryota; Metazoa; Chordata; Mammalia; Primates; Hominidae.
AUUGCCGCUGGUGGCAGGAGGCUGCGAGGAGCCGGCGCGGUCGCAGUCUCCACGGCGCAGGCCCACGGUAGCGCAGCCGCUCUGAGUUCCUGGUCCAGAACUUUACACAGAAAAGGUGCUCAAAGGAUAUUUGUUUAAUGAAUGUGGUAUGCUGACAUUUAAACAGGACAAAACUUGGUGCCUUUGAACCCUUGUGCACUUUUUAGUUAGAUCUUUAUUAACAUGCUAUGCCACUGCAGGGAGGGAGCAGGAAAAGCAUGAUACACAAUUUAAGACAAGUGCCACCAUAGGCUACUGUUGGCAAACAAGAGCUCCACCAAACUUUUUAAAGUGAAGAAGCAACAGUCUGAGCCAUUUUUCUCACCAGUGGCAGGAGGGGGAGACUUCCACCAGCAACAUGGAAUCUUCAGUGGAUGCAGCUGACCAACCCUCCUGACUUCUCAGUCUUUUCCCACCACUGCUCACCCUUUAUGUUCAGAUGUAUUCAGCACUAGAUAACCAUACUUAUUAACU